AGCAGCCGCGGUAAUUCCAGCUCCAAUAGCGUAUAUUAAAGUUGCUGCAGUUAAAAAGCUCGUAGUUGAAUUUCGGGAUCAAUAUGUUGGUCGUGCCUCGGUACGUACUAGCUUAUUGGUUUCUCCCUUCUGACGAACCAUGAUGUCAUUUAUUUGGUGUUAUGGGAAAUCAGGACUGUUACUUUGAAAAAAUUAGAGUGUUUAAAGCAGGCUCACGCUUGAAUACAUUAGCAUGGAAUAAUGAAAUAGGACGUUUGAUUCUAUUUUGUUGGUUUCUAGGAUCGACGUAAUGAUUAAUAGGGAUAGUUGGGGGCAUUAGUAUUCAAUUGUCAGAGGUGAAAUUCUUGGAUUUAUUGAAGACUAACUACUGCGAAAGCAUUUGCCAAGGAUGUUUUCAUUAAUCAAGAACGAAAGUUAGGGGAUCGAAGACGAUCAGAUACCGUCGUAGUCUUAACCAUAAACUAUGCCGACUAGGGAUCGGAUGAUGUUAAUUUUUAAUGUACUCAUUC
RNAcentral lists this ribosomal RNA (509 nucleotides) under uncultured Glomus. Its description in RNAcentral is "SSU rRNA". It matches the Rfam family "Eukaryotic small subunit ribosomal RNA", at positions 569 to 1081 of the family's 1831-position model. Lineage: Eukaryota; Fungi; Glomeromycota; Glomeromycetes; Glomerales; Glomeraceae. The record is from RNAcentral.